GGGAUAGCAGAGUUUGUAGCGACUUUUCUGUUUCUCUACAUCACCAUCUUAACAGUCUUCGGUGUCCUUAGGUCUCCCACCAAGUGCCAAUCCGUUGGUAUUCAAGGAAUCGCUUGGGCCUUCGGUGGCAUGAUCUUCGCCCUCGUUUACUGCACCGCCGGAAUCUCAGGUUCACUUUUUUUUUUCCUCAUCAACUCUAGGAAUUUUAUGUUUUUUUCAGUUGUUUAAGAUAAACAACGUUGCUUGUUUGUGUUUGUGGUGCAGGGGGUCACAUAAACCCUGCGGUUACCUUUGGGCUGUUCUUGGCAAGGAAAUUGUCGUUGACCAGAGCGUUGUUCUACAUCGUGAUGCAAGUGUUGGGUGCUAUCGCUGGAGCCGGAGUGGUGAAGGGUUUCGAGGGAAAAACCAGAUACGGUGCAUUGAACGGUGGUGCCAACUUUGUUAACCCAGGUUACACAAAAGGUGACGGACUCGGUGCUGAAAUCGUUGGCAC
RNAcentral lists this long non-coding RNA (493 nucleotides) under Vigna radiata. Its description in RNAcentral is "long non-coding RNA (VRAD_LNC004459)". Lineage: Eukaryota; Viridiplantae; Streptophyta; Magnoliopsida; Fabales; Fabaceae. The record is from RNAcentral.